This 785-nucleotide long non-coding RNA is filed under the name Mytilus galloprovincialis (Mediterranean mussel). Lineage: Eukaryota; Metazoa; Mollusca; Bivalvia; Mytilida; Mytilidae. The record is from RNAcentral.
UUUUGGACUUAUCAUAUAAAAUGUAGAGCUCGUCGAGAGGAACAUUUUAUACGCUGUAUGUAUGCAGCAAAGUCUUAUCGUUUUCCUAAUAUGUAAGCUUGAAAUUGCAGCGUAAUUUUAUUUUGCACUCUGUGACCUUUGACCUUUGAUGCAUAUUAAAGGUCACAUGAAUUAAAGAUUAUUGGUGAAUGUCCCAAGUCUCUACGACUUCCGGUUCUGGAAAUACAUUUUUUCUAAAAUUGUACACAAUUUUUCAAGGGGAAUAACUCCUUAUAAGGGUUAAUAACAAAAUGAUUGUAUAUGUUCAUUAACAUUGCCAUCUGUUCCUGUACAUAUUGCCGUUUUCAAAUCAAUUCUAUCUCUUAUACUUUUUGAGAAAAAUGCAAAGGAAAGAAAUUGUUUCAAGGGGAUAUAACUCUCAUAGAGGACAAUAAAAUCCUAUUCAACCUCAUAUGGUAAUAAAUCAUGAUGAGAUCUACCUAUUGUCCAAAUAAUGUCAUGAUAUUUUUAAAAACAACGAGGAGGUGCCGUGUUGAAAAAAAUCAAUAAAAGGGAGAUAACUUCUAAAGAGGAUGAUGAAAUCCUUAACAGGGUCUUUUGGUAAAACUGCAUGAUGAGGUCUAUCAAUGGUCCAUAUUUGGUCUUGGUAACUUUAACAGAAAGAAGGGGCGGGCAUGUCAAAAAAAUGUUGGAAGAAAAAAAAAAAAAAAGAAAAAAAAAAACAUUAGAAAAACAAUAAGGUCUUUCCUCGCGGAGAGGAAAGACCUUAAAUAUUUAUAUUGAAA